GACGAACGCUGGCGGCGUGCCUAAUACAUGCAAGUCGAGCGGACGGAUGGGAGCUUGCUCCCAGACCGUCAGCGGCGGACGGGUGAGUAACACGUGGGCAACCUGCCUGUAAGACUGGGAUAACUCCGGGAAACCGGGGCUAAUACCGGAUAACUCUUUCCCUCACAUGAGGGAAAGCUGAAAGAUGGCCUCUCGCUAUCACUUACAGAUGGGCCCGCGGCGCAUUAGCUAGUUGGUGAGGUAACGGCUCACCAAGGCGACGAUGCGUAGCCGACCUGAGAGGGUGAUCGGCCACACUGGGACUGAGACACGGCCCAGACUCCUACGGGAGGCAGCAGUAGGGAAUCUUCCGCAAUGGACGAAAGUCUGACGGAGCAACGCCGCGUGAGUGAUGAAGGUUUUCGGAUCGUAAAACUCUGUUGUCAGGGAAGAACAAGUACCGGAGUAACUGCCGGUACCUUGACGGUACCUGACCAGAAAGCCACGGCUAACUACGUG
This 498-nucleotide ribosomal RNA is filed under the name uncultured bacterium. RNAcentral describes it as "partial 16S ribosomal RNA". It matches the Rfam family "Bacterial small subunit ribosomal RNA", at positions 28 to 507 of the family's 1533-position model. The record is from RNAcentral.